AGGAUGGAUCUGCGGCCUAUCAGGUUGUAGUGGGUGUAAUGUACCUACUACCCUACGACGGGUACAGGUUGUGGAAGCAAGAGCCCGGAGAUGGAUUCUGAGACAUGAAUCCAGGCCCUACGGGGCGCAGCAGGCGCGAAAACUUUACAAUGCGGGAAACCGUGAUAAGGGAACACUGAGUGCUAGCAUUUAUGUUAGCUGUCCACAUGUGUAAAUAGCAUGUGAUAGCAAGGGCUGGGCAAGACCGGUGCCAGCCGCCGCGGUAACACCGGCAGCCCGAGUGGUGAUCACUAUUAUUGGGUCUAAAGGGUCCGUAGCCGGUUUAAUCAGUCUUCUGGGAAAUCUAAUCGCUUAACUAUUAGGCUUCCAGGGGAUACUGUUAGACUUGGGACCGGGAGAGGUAAGAGGUACUGCAGGGGUAGGAGUGAAAUCUUGUAAUCCCUGUGAGACCACCAGUGGCGAAGGCGUCUUACCAGAACGGGUCCGACGGUGAGGGACGAAAGCUGUGGGCACGAACCGGAUUAGAUACCCGGGUAGU
This 538-nucleotide ribosomal RNA is filed under the name uncultured archaeon. Its description in RNAcentral is "bacterial SSU rRNA". It matches the Rfam family "Archaeal small subunit ribosomal RNA", at positions 206 to 745 of the family's 1478-position model. The record is from RNAcentral.